Dreissena polymorpha is the source of this 414-nucleotide long non-coding RNA. RefSeq lists it as uncharacterized. The transcript is spliced from 2 exons. Lineage: Eukaryota; Metazoa; Mollusca; Bivalvia; Myida; Dreissenidae. The record is from RefSeq and is a predicted model, not a curated record.
UGAUAAGCUGGGAACAUGUGUUGUUAAAUUUAUACUGCGAUAAGAAUACUCGGUACAUUACACAUUAAAUUACAAAGUGGUGUGUGACCUACAUGUGCAUGCCAAUUAGUAUUCGUGGAUACAGAGAUUUAAUGUUCAAAGCCUGAAGACUCAAGAAUCGGAGGAAGUCGUAUUGAACAUGCAAGCAUACAAGGGCUGACCUCACGUGACCUAUCGUGCAGAACGUGGUGGCAUCCUGGAAGAUGUAGUGGUGCUUUGACGUCUGCUGCACAACCGCCUGAUAAGCUGUCAUGAAAAGCGAGCGCCAUACGAUUUGACUCUGUGAGCAUGCAUGUGAUGAACAAUAUGGGUUUAAUAUGAAGUUACGCGUUAUGAGUGUACCACAUGAUUUGACUAUAACAAUACGAGUUUGUA